CACGUAGUUAGCCGUCCCUUUCUGGUAAGCUACCGUCACAGUGUGAACUUUCCACUCUCACACCCGUUCUUGACUUACAACAGAGCUUUACGAUCCGAAAACCUUCUUCACUCACGCGGCGUUGCUCGGUCAGGGUUGCCCCCAUUGCCGAAGAUUCCCUACUGCUGCCUCCCGUAGGAGUCUGGGCCGUGCCUCAGUCCCAGUGUGGCCGAUCACCCUCUCAGGUCGGCUAUGUAUCGUCGCCUAGGUGAGCCAUUACCUCACCUACUAGCUAAUACAACGCAGGUCCAUCUUGUAGUGGAGCAAUUGCCCCUUUCAAAUAAAUGACAUGUGUCAUCCAUUGUUAUGCGGUAUUAGCUAUCGUUUCCAAUAGUUAUCCCCCGCUACAAGGCAGGUUACCUACGCGUUACUCACCCGUUCGCAACUCAUCCAAGAAGAGCAAGCUCCUCUCUUCAGCGUUCUACUUGCAUGUAUUAGGCACGCCGCCAGCGUUCGU
This 496-nucleotide ribosomal RNA is filed under the name uncultured Streptococcus sp. RNAcentral describes it as "partial 16S ribosomal RNA". Lineage: Bacteria; Bacillati; Bacillota; Bacilli; Lactobacillales; Streptococcaceae. The record is from RNAcentral.